GUGUUGGUUGUUGAUGGGAGUUGAAGGGAUGUGGAUGUUGUGGUGUUAUCUUGCCAACUGUAUCUUUUCUUCUUCUGUUUAAUAUUGAGCAGUAUAUAUAUGUUGUAUAAUUAUCAAUUCUUUCUUCUCGACCUCUUUACUAAACAAGGAGAAUGUACAUUACUCUUCAUCUUCCUCCAAUCCUUCAUUAAAACAUCCAAAUCAGACAGCCUUUUAUUUACUUUGCACUACCCCCCUUUCUCUCUUCCUUUUAGCAAUUGUUCACAUUCUCUUCAAACUCCUAAACACAGCAUGGAGAUAUUGUCAAAUAACAUAUAAUAUGUGGUGUUCAACUUGAUAUCAGUGGUUGACAUAUGCCAAGUGUUGGUUGGUUCUUUUGCAUUGCUAUUUCACUAUUUACUGCUCUGUGUUAACUUUUAUAUAUCCUUUAUUUUAUAUAACUUUCUUCUACAAAAUGUUAAACAAAUAUAGUUAAAGCAUAGAGUUUCUGCGACUUUUGGCAUUCUUUUCCAAAUGUUAAAGGGCAUUCAUUGAGUGCAUCAGGG
Molecule: unclassified non-coding RNA, 545 nt
Filed under: Hevea brasiliensis (rubber tree)
Lineage: Eukaryota; Viridiplantae; Streptophyta; Magnoliopsida; Malpighiales; Euphorbiaceae
Source: RNAcentral